Molecule: non-coding RNA, 402 nt
Organism: Hydra vulgaris (swiftwater hydra)
Lineage: Eukaryota; Metazoa; Cnidaria; Hydrozoa; Anthoathecata; Hydridae
Source: RefSeq, a predicted model, not a curated record
ACAAAAGAAUGGCACAAAUUUACAUUGAUAAAGUGUAAGAUAACAGAUAGUCAGUAUCUAACUUGUUUUGUGUUUUUUUUAAAGGUAACUUUAUUACUUUUUUGUAGCAAAAUUUUUUAUAAUUAGAUUCAUUUUCAUGUUGUGAAGAAUACAACUUUCUACAUCAAAUGAGAUGUAUGUUAAGAAAAGCAUUAAAAAUAAGAAUAACAAAUCAUACUGCUCUUCAUUGCCAGAACCUCCGCCACCUAUUAUGAAUAAGCCCAAUGCUAAAAAGUUGUUAUCAGAUUCAAAGAUUGAAAAAAAUAAUUUUUCUUCACAUUUUAUUGAUGAACAGAAUAAAACCAAGCAAAGUUCACAUUGUCAAAGAGUUUCAAGUUUUAAUAUGAGUAUUUUUGGUUUUUA